This is a long non-coding RNA of Aedes aegypti (yellow fever mosquito), 358 nucleotides long. RefSeq lists it as uncharacterized. Lineage: Eukaryota; Metazoa; Arthropoda; Insecta; Diptera; Culicidae. The transcript is spliced from 3 exons. The record is from RefSeq and is a predicted model, not a curated record.
AUAAUUAGUGCAAUGGAAAAAUAGCCAAUAAGCUGAAUAAUCAUGGCCUGCAAGGAGACGAUUGAGGGUGCGUACUUCAGAAUUAGAGAGCUUUAAUCCGGAAUACCAGGGUUUGGAUGGUAUCGUGUUCUGGAACUGGGAAUAUUUGCGUCCCUUUCCAUCCACAGCGGCAUAUUCGAGGAGUACUGUUGAUUCAAAGCUGCUUUCGCCAACUGGUCAGCAAUCUCGCUCCCGGCAGUGCCAGCGUGGCCAGGAAUCCACUGCAAUGCUGUGCUAGUUUUCGAAGCCAUACCGAGCAGUUUUUCCACAAUUUCAUCCCGAAAAUCAGCUUGCACGUUCGAUUUGAUGAACUCCAGAC